CCUACGGGAGGCAGCAGUGAGGCAUAUUGGUCAAUGGACGAGAGUCUGAACCAGCCAAGUAGCGUGAAGGAUGACUGCCCUAUGGGUUGUAAACUUCUUUUAUAUGGGAAUAACAUGUUCCACGUGUGGGAUUUUGUAUGUACCAUAUGAAUAAGGAUCGGCUAACUCCGUGCCAGCAGCCGCGGUAAUACGGAGGAUCCGAGCGUUAUCCGGAUUUAGUGGGUUUAAAGGGAGCGUAGGUGGAUUGUUAAGUCAGUUGUGAAAGUUUGCGGCUCAACCGUAAAAUUGCAGUUGAAACUGGCAGUCUUGAGUACAGUAGAGGUGGGCGGAAUUCGUGGUGUAGCGGUGAAAUGCUUAGAUAUCACGAAGAACUCCGAUUGCGAAGGCAGCUCACUGGACUGCAACUGACACUGAGGCUCGAAAGUGUGGGUAUCAAACAGGAUUAGAUACCCUAGUAGUC
RNAcentral lists this ribosomal RNA (460 nucleotides) under uncultured bacterium. RNAcentral describes it as "partial 16S ribosomal RNA". It matches the Rfam family "Bacterial small subunit ribosomal RNA", at positions 338 to 795 of the family's 1533-position model. The record is from RNAcentral.